Molecule: ribosomal RNA, 556 nt
Filed under: Russula emetica
Lineage: Eukaryota; Fungi; Basidiomycota; Agaricomycetes; Russulales; Russulaceae
Description: eukaryotic LSU rRNA
Rfam family: 5.8S ribosomal RNA (bases 131-284)
Source: RNAcentral
ACAAUCCAUCUCACCCCUUGUGCACCACCGCGUGGGUCCCUCUCUGGCUCGUCCGGAGGGGGGCUCGCGUUUUCACACAAACUUGAAGUAGUGUAGAAUGUCCUUUUUUGCGAUAACACGCAAUCAAUACAACUUUCAACAACGGAUCUCUUGGCUCUCGCAUCGAUGAAGAACGCAGCGAAAUGCGAUACGUAAUGUGAAUUGCAGAAUUCAGUGAAUCAUCGAAUCUUUGAACGCACCUUGCGCCCCUUGGCAUUCCGAGGGGCACACCCGUUUGAGUGUCGUGAAAUUCUCAAAACCCUUUCUUUUGGUCAUUUUUGACCAUGGAAAGGAUUUUGGACUUGGAGGCCUUUUUGCUGGUUUCAACCUUGAAGCGAGCUCCUCCCAAAUGUAUUAGUGGGGUCUGCAUUGUCGGUCCUUGGCGUGAUAAGUUGUUUCUACGUCUUGGAUUUUUGGCGCUGUACACCUGCUUCUAACCGUCUCAUUGACAACGAUGGUGUUCCGGUCGCCGCCGAUUUUUCGGUGGGAGGCUUGACCCACGAAACAAACCUGACCU